Molecule: long non-coding RNA, 3021 nt
Filed under: Olea europaea (common olive)
Lineage: Eukaryota; Viridiplantae; Streptophyta; Magnoliopsida; Lamiales; Oleaceae
Description: long non-coding RNA (OEUR_LNC005971)
Source: RNAcentral
AUAUAACAGAAACAAAAUUUUCUAAAAAGGAAACAAUGCAUAAACGAAGGCUUAAACGAAAGAAUUUGCCCAAAAUUGGCUCCACAUCAGCAACAAAGCUGCUUUUCUUGCUGAGUUUUGUUCAUUGUCACGUUUGCAAUCAAAUUCGACUAAAAUUUCACCAAAAAUGGAUACCCUCAAAAUUUCUCUAAAAACUGAGAAAUUGGAGAUGUUAGUUUAAAGAAAUGAGAAAAAGAAAAAAAGAGCACUAACCAUGCAACACAGAAAGUGCUUUGUGCGUGCACUCUCCGCGCAGCGUAGAGAGGCAUGCCUCUCCGUAUUGCUCUAAAUGUUACAAAAAGGUCAUCGAUUAACAUAGAGAAGGUCAUGUCACGGCAUAGAAAUAGCAAUGUAAUUUGUGAUGAAUUCGAUUGCAAACUAUGUGCAAAAAAUCGAAACUGGAUAUAAAUAAAUUCAACGUCAUCUAAUAACGAGUUAGUUAUACAGUUUAAUAUUUAAUUAAAAUCAUGUUGGUGGAUGAUAGAAGAUAAAUGCUUAUAUAAAUUUCAGCACCUCUCCAAAGAUCCAUUCCACAAUCAAAUGCAGUUACAAAAAGUAGAUAAUAUCAUUGUUUUAACAAAUUACUUUGGAAUCAAAAUCUUUUGCUUAAUUUAAGUAAGAAUAUUCGUUGAAUGAUAGAUGCUAGAAAAUUUUAGAAGCUGAGUAAUGAGCUCACACCACCAUUCAGAUCUGCACAUCAGGUAAAAAGAAUCAACACUCAUGUGCAAAAACACAAAAAUGGGGAUUGUUACAAAAUGAACAAGAAAAAUUUAUAUGCAGAGCUCUGAGCCUUGUAUAACAGAAAAUUAAUGUAAGACCAUUAGUAGACUAUUUUAUAAUGCUCCAAAAAUUACACAUAUGUUCCAAUAUUAUUUGACACUAAAAAAUUAAGAAGUGCUAUGCGCCUUAUUUAACAAGAACAUAGCAUAAGAUGCUCUUGUGAACUCUCGACCUUCUAUAAAGAGAGAGAAUUCUACCGGCUUCAAACUUGUCAAACUUAUUGAAGAAGAGUCUGAAUUGGACAUUGAAUGAUCAAUUACAGGUGCAUAAUCAUGUAUAUAUGAUCGAGAACUCCUAGUUGUAAAGGAUAACACAAAGGAACUUGUAGAUAGGAUGCGAUGAGUGAGACAGCCUGCGUAAAUAACAAGCCAUCAUGACUAAUAGAUAUUAAAUUACAAUUAUUGCUCUAGUAAUUGGCUAAUGCCUACAAUAAUGCAAUAAUCAAUAAAGGUCACUGAAAUCCAAAACAAGUGUAAACUAAUUGCCUAGUUGAUGACAAAAGUGAUAACGCAUAAUUACUCCCCUAUUUAUUUUAGAUGUCCUAUCACAAUUCAUGCAACUAAAGCAUAUUACACUUGAAAAUAUACAUAAGUUCAUAAAAUUAUGCCAAGCAAAGAGGAAACUCAUCUUUGUAAAAGGGAUCACAAUGAGAUGCAGAUCUGAGAUGGUUAAAGAGCCUCGAUCAAUAGGUUUUGAUCCAUAAUGAACAUCUGCAAGUAGUGGCAAAAAAAAACAAUAGAAUAGAGAUUAAUCAAAAUAAACCAAUCAAUUAAAGAGUUCUAAGCUGUAAUAAUUAUGGUAAUAAUCAAAACCAUCAAUUGCAGCUGGAAUCUUUUAUAUAAAGCAGAGUUAGCAUAUGAUGUUUGCAGUCAUACAUUGCUUAUAUCAACUUGGAUAUGAAUCCAGCAUAUACAUAUAAUCAAAUUAAUAUCAAUAAGUAGAGAGGUAAUGAGAGAGCUCUAUUUUUUUAUUUAUAAGAACGAACAUCUGGUUAAUAUCUAACAAAUGCAGUCGGCAAAAAAACUCAGAAAAAGACUUGAAAAGAAUAAAAAAACAGUAAAGGGAUGAAAAAAUCAAAAAUAUGAACUGGUGAAAAUCGAAUUCUUUAGUGAAUGGAACAUCAAGUUUAGCCUUACAAGCCUGCAUUCCAUCAGUAGACCCAUACAAUCCAUGAGCUCCAUUAUUUUUUCUUACAUUUAUAAGCAUGUAUAUCUAGUUAAUACCUAAGAAAUGAAGUGUUGGCAAAAAAAAAAACCCAAGAAAAAGAACUUAAAAAAUUAAAGGGAUGAAAAAAUCAAGUGAAAAUCGAGUUCUUUAGUGAGUGGAACGCCGAGUUUAGCCAUACAACCCUGAAUUCUAUCAUCAGACCCAUAUAAUCCAGGAGCUCCGCACUGCACAGAGACCUCUCUGUAUUGGUCUCUGCGCAGCGCAAAGACUAGAAAUAUUCUGAAAUGUUUUCUUCGCCUUUCCUCUCUGAUUCCACAAUUUCCCCCACUUUCUUUGAAUUUAUGGCCAGCUUGUUAAAUUUGAUAGUGUAUCUUUUUAAACUUGUUAGUUUGAGCUGCUAUAAUUUAAUAUAGGCUCUGAUAGAAGCAAAAUUUGAGGUCUGCCUUGAAGGUUAACUUUGAGAGGGGCAAUAAGUCAUUCAAGACAACUUUUCCUUAUUUCGGAUUUUUCAAAAUUCAAGAGAUUACAUGGCUAUUUAUCGAUUCUUUUAUACAUAAACAUAGCAAAUACUAAAUUUUUCUUCCUUAGUGAUUCAAAUUACAUUUUCAUGCUCCAAUUCAGAGUCCAAUUCCACGCUACUAUAUUUUAACUUUAAAAAAAAAUCAUCAACCAAACAGAAUGGAAAAACAAAGCCCAAAUCUCUCAAGGGUGUAAAAAUAUGGAUGGAAAAUAGAAAAAUAACUAAAAGGCAUUAUGUUACCGAUUGGGGCAGUGAGAGGACAUCGUUUUCAAAGGCCAUGGGACCAGUUCAGUGAAGGAUGUGUCCAGCUCAAAAGAAACCGACAAAUGCCACUUUAUCAUGGGGAUUCCGGAAGCUCGGUCGUGCCACCUUAAUCACCACCAUAGCAGAUGCUCCGUCACCAUAUUUGGCUCUUGUGUGUGAGAGAACGAUGGUGGGUGGGGGACUAGUAUGGUAAUUGAUUAAGUGUAAAGACUUGAGAUGGAUAGUUUUUGAGUUUGAGUGUGAAAAUGGAU